UAGCGACAGGCCUAACACAUGCAAGUCGAGGGCAGCACAAGGAGCAAUCUGAGGUGGCGACCGGCGCACGGGUGAGUAACACGUAUGCAACCUGCCUGUAAGCGGGGAAUAACCCGUUGAAAGACGGACUAAUACCGCAUAAUACUAAAUUACUGCAUGGUAAUUUAUUUAAACAUUUAUGGCUUACAGAUGGGCAUGCGCAUGAUUAGCUAGUUGGAGAGGUAACGGCUCCCCAAGGCAACGAUCAUUAGGGGUUCUGAGAGGAAGGUCCCCCACACUGGUACUGAGACACGGACCAGACUCCUACGGGAGGCAGCAGUGAGGAAUAUUGGUCAAUGGACGAGAGUCUGAACCAGCCAAGUCGCGUGCAGGAAGAAUGUCCUAUUGGAUUGUAAACUGCUUUUGCAGGGGAAUAAAGUGCAUCACGUGUGAUGUUUUGUAUGUACUCUGCGAAUAAGGAUCGGCUAACUCCGUGCCAGCAGCAGC
RNAcentral lists this ribosomal RNA (486 nucleotides) under uncultured bacterium. RNAcentral's name for it is "bacterial SSU rRNA". It matches the Rfam family "Bacterial small subunit ribosomal RNA", at positions 37 to 518 of the family's 1533-position model. The record is from RNAcentral.